GGGCAUAGCUCAGUGGUAGAGCACAUGCUUAGCAUGCAUGAGGUCCUGGGUUCAAUCCCCAGUACCUCCA
This 70-nucleotide transfer RNA is filed under the name Camelus bactrianus (Bactrian camel). It matches the Rfam family "tRNA". Rfam says of the family: Transfer RNA (tRNA) molecules are approximately 80 nucleotides in length. Their secondary structure includes four short double-helical elements and three loops (D, anti-codon, and T loops). Further hydrogen bonds mediate the characteristic L-shaped molecular structure. tRNAs have two regions of fundamental functional importance: the anti-codon, which is responsible for specific mRNA codon recognition, and the 3' end, to which the tRNAs corresponding amino acid is attached (by aminoacyl-tRNA synthetases). tRNAs cope with the degeneracy of the genetic code in two manners: having more than one tRNA (with a specific anti-codon) for a particular amino acid; and 'wobble' base-pairing, i.e. permitting non-standard base-pairing at the 3rd anti-codon position. The record is from Rfam by way of RNAcentral. RNAcentral also lists the same sequence under 2 other names. Lineage: Eukaryota; Metazoa; Chordata; Mammalia; Artiodactyla; Camelidae.